Non-coding RNA from Pipistrellus kuhlii (Kuhl's pipistrelle), 260 nucleotides. The record is from RefSeq and is a predicted model, not a curated record. Lineage: Eukaryota; Metazoa; Chordata; Mammalia; Chiroptera; Vespertilionidae.
AGUCUGCAGUCUUGGAGCCGCACUGAGUUGGUGGUACCCGAGGGCACACCAGACUUGCAGGAAAAGCAUACCCCGGAGGAAGCUGAGGCAUGACUGCUCUAGAACCAGCCUUCCAUGUGCAAGUUCCUGGGCACUGUUGCCAUGGUGAUAGUGACUGUCUGUGUCAUUAUCUAUCCACCAACAGUAAGAGAAGCUUUGCAGUCGAGAUAUUGCUUGACAGAUGCAGUGGUUUCUGUUGGACACUAAGUACUAUUUUAUUU